Molecule: long non-coding RNA, 3041 nt
Filed under: Equus asinus (donkey)
Lineage: Eukaryota; Metazoa; Chordata; Mammalia; Perissodactyla; Equidae
Description: lncRNA (ENSEASG00005034080.1)
Source: RNAcentral
UGGGCACCUAGAGUGGCGGGAGCAGGGCUCCUAGGCAUUCCCGAGGUGGUGGGUAGAUGGCUGGGGUGGGCGCCAGAGCCAACCCCCUCCCCCCCCCAGCCUCCCACGGUGCCAGUGCCUAUGGGAGUAAUUAGCGCUAAUGACAGGACUGGGGACUCUGUUAUCAUAUAUACACUCACCUCGCACUGGGGCACAACCGAGGCAGGCCAGGAGGGGGUCGGCAGAUGAAGGGCGAGGCCCGAGGUGGGGAGGGCAGAGCAGGGCAGGGAGGGGUGGUGGUCCAGCCCCCUACAGACCCCAAGGGGACCCUGGUCUGCCUCGAAAUGCUCCCCAGCCAUGUGGGGUCAUGUGGGUGGGUGUGGGCUGGACAGCGUCCCCCUGGCAGCGUCCCCCUGGCAGCGUCCCCCUGUCGGGGUGUCAUGGGGUCGGUGCUGCCAGGCCCUCUCUGGUGUGGUGUCCUCGGGGCAGCCCUCCCUCUCCCCCGCCCGGGCAGCCCCCACGCCGGGAGUGCCUGAGACUGCCAGGUGCUGCCCCUGGCACCGUGGGGCUCCUCCUGGAUCCCAGAAUCCUCGGGGGCAGGAGCCCCCAGGCACUUCCCUCUCAACUGCCACUCUCUCCUCCCUCACCCAGAGAGCUUCCUUCUCUCCUCCCACGUCUCAGGAAAGGGGAAACAGGGCUUCCCCAGUGGCCUCGGGGCCCACAGACUGGGCCAGAAUUUUCUUCCCGUCAGUGCCGUUCUGACACAAGUUUCAGCUUUUUAUUUAGAAACUCAAAACCUGAGCCUUCCCUUCUGUGGGCACAGCCACAUCCCGAAGGCAGUGAGCCUGAGCGCUCCGGGCUGGAGAAAGCCGGGAGUGGGAGCUGACCAUGAAGUGGGUGUAAGCACAGCCAGGGGGAACACGUGCGCCCUGCAGAGCCCCACAUGCGUCGAGCUUCCCCGAUGAGGGGGCCAUCAAAAGUCUUCGGGGAGCCAGAGACCCAGGACUGCCCAUCAGCAUCACCAGCCCAGCCCGGGCCAGUGCCUGGCCCACAGCAGGCGCUCCCCGGGCAGCUGCGGACUGACUGACUGCUGUACGCACCCAGCACGUGGUAAUACCCAGCUCAACCAGUGAGAAGUGAGCCAGCGGGAUUGCUUUAGCAAUUCGGGGUCUUUUGUUGCCUCCCAGGGGCAUCUUCAUCUUCAUAGAGAACCCUUGGAAAUCUUCCAGAUGCGAAUGAAUGGACUGAUAAUGGUAGAUUGGAGGCCCAGUGACUAGCUUGUGUGUGUGUGUGAACUGCCACCUACCAGCUGUGCAACCUUGGGUGAGUCCCUCCACCUCUCUGAGCUCAGUGUGUUCAUCCACGAUGUGGAGGCUGCUGUCCCAGGCACAGCUGCAGCAACGGCCGGUGUGUUGGGGCGGCCGGGAUAUCGAGUGCGGAUGAACUUCGGCAGCAGGAGGUGAGGACUGUUACGUCCGUGGUUUUGGUUAUGAUCCUUGCCCAGCCGGGCAAUAGGGAGCCCGUGGAAGUUAACAAACAAGGCAGGGAUGUCCGAUUAUGAAUGUCUGCAGCUUCGGGUCUGGAAUCGAGCUUCGGAACAGGUGUGGAAGCCGACCCCUCCCAGAAAUAGUGAAGGUAAGGUGGGCCUCAGAGCAGGAGGCAGCGGAGCCGGGGGCAGAUGCAGCCCCGCCACGCCCCCGUCCUGCACUGCUGAGGGGGCUGCAGGCAGGUGUGGGGAUCCCUGAGGAGUGGGGCAGGCCGCUCACCGAGCGGGGGCUGUGUGCGUGUGCACACGUGUGCAUGCCCUGUGCGUGUGUGUCUGUUGUGGGUACAUGUGAGCACGUGGCACAUGUGUGUGUCGGGACCCGUGCCUUCCUGUGCGCCCUUGUUUUCCGCUGUCACAAUGAGAGAUGCGCACAGGCCUGGCGGUCUCUGGCCCGGGGCAGAGGAAUUCUUUAUUUCCAUGGCCUUCCACGGUGAUUAAGUCUCCAAACUUUCCCUUAACCAUCAUUUCUUCAAAAUGAAAAACCAAAUUGCAUCUCCAAGCAGCUUGGAAAUCGAUUUCUUUCAAAAUGAAGUUUUGGAGAAGCGAUUCCAAAGAGAAAUAAGAGGAAGAAGGUGGGAGGGUGCUUGGGGUGGGGACAGAGCAGCUGCCAGGGCCUCUGAGGACCGCAGGGGGUGGGGAGGGGCCCCCACUGGGCUGGUGGCUCCUCCAGCCUCAGCCAGGACAAUCUCACCCCACCCCCAUGCCCGCUGGCCCCUCGGUGACGACCCUUCACGGGCCUGGUGUGGGGACCCAGGAAGGUGCCCAGCUCAUGCACCGGCCUGAGCCCUCUUGGGGGAAGCCGGUCUCAGCAACAAGCCCAGGAAUGGCGGCCCCGCCCUGUCGAGCUGGGCCUGGCCAGCGCUUUGCCAGCACUAUCUCAUUUAAUUCUCACGUCAGCCCUGGGGUGGCAUCGUCAGCCCAGUUUAGUGAUGGGAAACCGUGGCCCAGAGAGGUGAGUGUUUCGAGGAGAUGAGGGGAGGAUUCGGGGAGAACAGAAGUGAGGGGCCAGGGCUGCACCUGGGGUCUCACUGGGUCAGCGGAUGACAGGUCCUGGGGGAAGGAGGAGGACGACUCGUGGACACAAACACUGAACGAUGACACAAAACACCCUCCGUGCCCGGGGACAGCCACAGCCAGUGUUCCAGGACGAAAGGAAGGACGUGAUGGCCCUUCAUGAGGAGUGAGUGAGUGUGUGUGUGAGCUCACUCGUGUGGUCGCGGUGGGUGUGGAGUCGGUGCAGCCAGCCCAGUGUGGGAGGGAGUCUGUCACUCAGUGUGUGGAGGGGGCGGUGGGCCCUGUGCCUGGUGAGUGGAGGGGUGGUGGCUGGUGCCUCUGCCAUGUGCGAGCUGCAUGUGGCUCUCAGAGCCCCUGGGGCUGCCAGGUGGGCGCGUGGAUGGGUGGGGAGCCUUGCUCAGCCCCUCGCCCUUCCCCCACUGUGCUGCACCCCCCCCCCCAUUUGACAGGCCUAAGGGAUCCAGAGGCCUGGGGGACGAGGGCUAGAGGGGAUUGGGGCUGG